This 386-nucleotide ribosomal RNA is filed under the name uncultured fungus. RNAcentral's name for it is "partial small subunit ribosomal RNA". It matches the Rfam family "Eukaryotic small subunit ribosomal RNA", at positions 30 to 432 of the family's 1831-position model. Lineage: Eukaryota; Fungi. The record is from RNAcentral.
GCUUGUCUCAAAGAUUAAGCCAUGCAUGUCUAAGUUUAAAUAGAAAACAGUGAAACUGCGAAUGGCUCAUUAAAUAAUUUUGCAUAUACAAGAUAGUCAACUCUACUUGGAUAACCGUAGUAAUUCUAGAGCUAAUACAUGCGCCAAGUCCCGUCUUACGUCGGGAUGUAUUUAUUAGAUUUCAAUCAACACUUUUUGCUGACUCAUGAUAACUUAGCGGAUCGCAGAGGCCUCGCGCCGGCGACAAAUCAUUCAAGUUUCUGCCCUAUCAGCUUUCGAUGGUAGUGUAUUGGACUACCAUGGCAUUCACGGGUAACGGAGGAUUAGGGUUCGAUUCCGGAGAGGGAGCCUGAGAAAUGGCUACCACAUCCAAGGAAGGCAGCAGG